Molecule: ribosomal RNA, 253 nt
Filed under: uncultured bacterium
Lineage: Bacteria
Description: partial 16S ribosomal RNA
Rfam family: Bacterial small subunit ribosomal RNA
Source: RNAcentral
UACGUAGGGUGCAAGCGUUGUCCGGAAUUAUUGGGCGUAAAGAGCUCGUAGGCGGUCUGUCGCGUCUGCUGUGAAAACCUAGGGCUUAACUCUGGGCGUGCAGUGGGUACGGGCAGGCUAGAGUGCGGUAGGGGAGACUGGAAUUCCUGGUGUAGCGGUGAAAUGCGCAGGUAUCGGGAGGAACACCGAUGGCGAAGGCAGUUCUCUGGGCCGUAACUGACGCUGAGGAGCGAAAGCGUGGGGAGCGAACAGG